Molecule: ribosomal RNA, 253 nt
Filed under: uncultured bacterium
Lineage: Bacteria
Description: partial 16S ribosomal RNA
Rfam family: Bacterial small subunit ribosomal RNA
Source: RNAcentral
UACGUAGGGUGCGAGCGUUAAUCGGAAUUACUGGGCGUAAAGGGCGCGUAGGCGGCCUUCUAAGUCAGACGUGAAAUCCCCAGGCUUAACUUGGGAACUGCGUCUGAUACUGGGAGGCUUGAGUGCGGGAGAGGGAUGUGGAAUUCCAGGUGUAGCGGUGAAAUGCGUAGAUAUCUGGAGGAACACCGGUGGCGAAGGCGGCAUCCUGGACCGACACUGACGCUGAGGCGCGAAGGCCAGGGGAGCAAACGGG